Molecule: ribosomal RNA, 447 nt
Filed under: Triticum aestivum (bread wheat)
Lineage: Eukaryota; Viridiplantae; Streptophyta; Magnoliopsida; Poales; Poaceae
Description: partial small subunit ribosomal RNA
Source: RNAcentral
AUGGUAUGUGUACAACCCCAACACCGAGGACAAGAGCAAGCUGGUCGAGAACGUGAACUACGCCUGCACCUUUGCCGACUGCACCGCGCUCGGCCUCGGCUCCACCUGCUACGGCAUGGACGUCAAUGGCAACGCCUCCUACGCCUUCAACAUGUACUUCCAGGUGCAGAACCAGAAGGACGAGGCCUGCGACUUCCAGGCGCUCGCCGUGCCCACGCAGACCGUCCUCGUCCUCGUCCAGGAGACCGACCCCUCCACUUCCAGGAGCUCAACCUCUCCGACAAUGCGCUCGCGGGCUGGCUCCCCGCCGCGCUCCUCAGGGCGCCCGGGCUCGCCGUGCUGGGCCUCACCAACAACUACCACGCCGGCGAGCUUCCCGCCAUGGGGCACGAAGACGAGGUGUUUGUUGAAAUGCCUAAGAGAGAUAUAGGAGGAGCAAGAAGAUAG